CAGUCGCCACGGUAAUACAGAGGGUGCAAGCGUUAAUCGGAAUUACUGGGCGUAAAGCGCGCGUAGGUGGUUUGUUAAGUUGGAUGUGAAAUCCCCGGGCUCAACCUGGGAACUGCAUCCAAAACUGGCAAGCUAGAGUAUGGUAGAGGGUGGUGGAAUUUCCUGUGUAGCGGUGAAAUGCGUAGAUAUAGGAAGGAACACCAGUGGCGAAGGCGACCACCUGGACUGAUACUGACACUGAGGUGCGAAAGCGUGGGGAGCAAACAGGAUUAGAGACCCCUGUAGUCCCUGUCUCUUAUAC
Molecule: ribosomal RNA, 301 nt
Filed under: uncultured bacterium
Lineage: Bacteria
Description: partial 16S ribosomal RNA
Rfam family: Bacterial small subunit ribosomal RNA
Source: RNAcentral